RNAcentral lists this long non-coding RNA (1565 nucleotides) under Cottoperca gobio. RNAcentral's name for it is "lncRNA (ENSCGOG00000022967.1)". The record is from RNAcentral. Lineage: Eukaryota; Metazoa; Chordata; Actinopteri; Perciformes; Bovichtidae.
AUGUUAAAUAAUUGAAUUUGAAAAUAAAUGAUUCAUGAUAAUAUGCCACUUAUAUUAUAGCGUUCUCAAUAUCAGCUAAAUUGGUCUAAUUGUCUAUAGAACACUAUCACAUUUACAUAGACGACGUUAUACUGCCUAUACAAAGAGGCCGGAAGUUUCCAUAUCUGACCACAACACAUGAGUGUAUGGGUGCAUCUCAUAUAUGGUAACGCUUGCUACAUGAUAAUGAGAACAGAAACACUUGAUGUGGUAAGAAAAAGAGAGCAACACUGUUCAGUUCAGUUGUGUUCACCACUAUAGGGAAGGAGAAGGACUCUUCUUUGUCUGUGAAAUGUUCUUAGAUGGUUUAAUGUCUCUAAAAGAUGUCUAAUCUCUAAUCCAACCAACCAAAAAUGGAUCAUCAGGUUUUUUUCACUCAACUGAGAUGUUGGACCAAAGUGUACUAACGUGAAGAGAUGAAAAGGCAGUAGCCCACAUUCUGGACUCAAGACACAGAAGAGUCUCAAGAAAAGAGAUUCCCGUCCAGUGUGUGGACAAUCCUUGUGGUUCUAAUGCUACGAUCGUCUAUGAUGACGUUACACACCUUUAUUCUCAACAUGACACCAUAGAUUGGACUGCUUCUGAAGAAGGACACGGCCCUCACAGUUCUGUGCAACCUUUCCAAUCUGCCCGUUAUCAGAAUGAGGACCCUGCCGCUCAGGAUCCUGAAGAGACGGACAGUACUUCAUCAUCCAGAUUCCCAUCCAGUGUUUGGACAAUCCUGAUUCUAAUCCUGUGCUACCAUUUCAUACCCAUUCUGAGAAUGCUACUCAGUUAUUCACCAUCCAGUCUUCAGGAGGAGGAAAAGGAGGAGGAUGACUAGAGGCCUCUACAGCCAUCAUCCAUGUCAAAUUAAGACUUCAGGAAGUUAAUGGUCACGGGCCAAGAGUCAGACACAAAACUGUAUUUUGUAAUGAGAAUUAGCAUUUUUACAAUUUGGUGUUUGUUAAACAAAACACAUAAUAUGUGAGCUUCAGAGGUGCUGGUAGCAUUUGUCUUGUUGUUUCCCUGUUUCCAUGUUACUGUAUGUUAAACUAAGAAUCUGAUAGCUAUGCAUUUAAGUUCACACGAUAGUGGCAUUAUUUAUUCUAAAGUGAAUAAGCAAAUUCCUAAAACUUUCCAAACUAUUUCUUUAAGCUUUAUUCUGAACUACACUAAAAGGUCAACAACAAUUGUUGUUGUCUUGCAUAAUGUUAGAAAAAUCCAACAUAGACACUAUGUACACCAAUAAAAAGUUGUGAAAAUGCUUCAAGCUCAAUAAAAAAUGGUGUUUGUCAUAUGGAUCAGACGAGCCUUUAUUUUACAGAGUGUGAACCACUCAAAUUAAAUAGAUACACAGUCACAAUUGAUUACUUACACUCAACAUUUCCAAUGGAUCAAAAUGUAUGUUCUGGUCUGUCAAAAUCAAGGGGUGAGGGUUAUCAAUAACACCACAUUUUACUGACCUUUAACUGCCUGUGCAAAAGUAUUUGCGGAAGUAUGUGUCAUUAUUCCAUCCCAGACAAUUCCCUCUCCUCUAUUCAGGG